Long non-coding RNA from Ctenocephalides felis (cat flea), 409 nucleotides. RefSeq lists it as uncharacterized. The transcript has 3 exons. NCBI's taxonomy places the organism in Eukaryota, Metazoa, Arthropoda, Insecta, Siphonaptera, Pulicidae. The record is from RefSeq and is a predicted model, not a curated record.
GUUUAUAUAUAAUUAUGUUUUGGUGAAUACUUUUUUCAUUUAUUAUUAAGUUAAAAUCAUAAAGUGUUAUGUGCCAAAUUGUUAUAACCCCAAAUAUAAUAAAAAAAUGCAUGUCUUUCCGGCAUCUAAUUAUCAGAGGGCGAAUAAUCUUUUAAUGGAUGACCUAACUCUUCGGUUUGUGGCACAAAUCAACGAUAAUUUGAAAUCGAAACCAAAUAGAAGUGUCUCCUUUACGGCAAUAACAAAAUAGUUUUCAAGUCACUGGAGAAUGCUCUGAUACAGAACCAGAAGAACAAUCUGCAACUCUAAGGACAAGGACAAGAGAUGGAAGCCUAAACACCUUGAAAAAGAUUUUUGCAGCACCUCUAAGAUUGUGAAGUGCAGGUUAAAAGUCACCUAUUCUGACACC